UGACUAGAUCCAUACUCACCAG
This 22-nucleotide microRNA is filed under the name Daphnia pulex (common water flea). Lineage: Eukaryota; Metazoa; Arthropoda; Branchiopoda; Diplostraca; Daphniidae. The record is from RNAcentral. RNAcentral also lists the same sequence under 2 other names.